GAUGAAGAACGUAGCGAAAUGCGAUAAGUAAUGUGAAUUGCAGAAUUCAGUGAAUCAUCGAAUCUUUGAACGCACAUUGCGCCCUCUGGUAUUCCGGGGGGCAUGCCUGUUCGAGCGUCAUUAUAACCACUCAAGCUCUCGCUUGGUAUUGGGGUUCGCGGUUCCGCGGCCCCUAAAAUCAGUGGCGGUGCCUGUCGGCUCUACGCGUAGUAAUACUCCUCGUGAUUGAGUCCGGUAGGUCUACUUGCCAGCAACCCCCAAUUUUUACAGGUUGACCUCGGAUCAGGUAGGGAUACCCGCUGAACUUAAGCAUAUCAAUAAGCGGAGGA
RNAcentral lists this unclassified non-coding RNA (329 nucleotides) under soil metagenome. RNAcentral describes it as "partial contains 5.8S ribosomal RNA, internal transcribed spacer 2, and large subunit ribosomal RNA". The stretch from base 1 to 120 matches the Rfam family "5.8S ribosomal RNA", at positions 35 to 154 of the family's 154-position model. The record is from RNAcentral.